RNAcentral lists this small RNA (80 nucleotides) under Vibrio neptunius. RNAcentral describes it as "isrK". Lineage: Bacteria; Pseudomonadati; Pseudomonadota; Gammaproteobacteria; Vibrionales; Vibrionaceae. The record is from RNAcentral.
GCACUGGCAAAAUCCAGUGUCGGGAUUCGUACCCCGCCUCAAUUCACUAGUCGCAUAGAGCGUCAGCAAAACGCUGCUCU